GCAGCUCACCGGGGGUGUCCGUUGCAACACGGGCUGAGACAGUCCCCAAACCUGAUCUGGAUCAUGCCAGCGUAGGGAGCGUGAAGGUUCGAGCUC
This 96-nucleotide non-coding RNA is filed under the name Comamonadaceae bacterium. Its description in RNAcentral is "TPP sequence". It matches the Rfam family "TPP riboswitch aptamer (THI element)". From Rfam's summary of the family: Vitamin B(1) in its active form thiamin pyrophosphate (TPP) is an essential coenzyme that is synthesised by coupling of pyrimidine and thiazole moieties in bacteria. The previously detected thiamin-regulatory element, thi box was extended, resulting in a new, highly conserved RNA secondary structure, the THI element, which is widely distributed in eubacteria and also occurs in some archaea. Analysis of operon structures identified a large number of new candidate thiamin-regulated genes, mostly transporters, in various prokaryotic organisms. The record is from RNAcentral. Lineage: Bacteria; Pseudomonadati; Pseudomonadota; Betaproteobacteria; Burkholderiales; Comamonadaceae.